Felis catus (domestic cat) is the source of this 6011-nucleotide RNA transcript. RefSeq lists it as uncharacterized. The record is from RefSeq and is a predicted model, not a curated record. Lineage: Eukaryota; Metazoa; Chordata; Mammalia; Carnivora; Felidae. The transcript has 7 exons.
AGUUUGAUAAGUUUUUUAUAGAUUUUGUAUACUAACCCUAGGGUUUUGUGACUUUGAAUGGUAUAUUCAGCAUUUUUAUGUCAACAUUACCAGUAGUUUUGAAUCCUGAGUUAGCAGGUAGGAAAUAUCAGGCUGGAAUACUUCUUAAACAUCAGUUUAUCAUAAGUGGAAAGUGUACGUUGAGCAAAGAGAGCUGUACCUAAGUUGAGCAGAGAGAGCUGAGCUUGUAAAUUCCUUUGCACGUUUCAUUUUUUGCAUGGAAUUAGUCUUUAAUGCAAAAGAAAAGUUUUGGGUACAGGACAGGACGUGAUAAGACAACACAGAGUCGAACAAUUUUUCAGACCAGAUGGUGAAAGAUUUUAUUUUCCAUGAUGGUAGAAAGCAUAGGGAUCACUGUGUCUGCCAGAGCACUUGGACUAUGUUUAGAGCAACAGUUCAAAUCACUUCAGUGCAAAAUAUUAUUUGACGCUGCCUUAUAAUGGAUUCCACUAAAACAGACUCUGGGACAGGGGAUUUUGUGCAAAGUUUGUAGGAGAGUAGUCUUCGAAGAUAUACCUGAAGAAGUGAAUAAGGUAAGAAGAAGCAGAGGGAAAAACUGACCCACAGUGCAAUUGAGACUAAGACCUCUGCUGACUCCAUGGUAAGCUCUGUAACUGGGAUGUCCCUUUAGAUUAUCUCAAACUGAGGCAAGUUGGUAAAGCCUUUGUUUCCCUCCUUUUCCCAGUAAUUUGCUUCAUGCCAAGCCUUGGGAGAGGUCCUAAACUUGGAAGAGGCUGAGGGCAAUUUCAGUAAACAUCACAACUGUGAGUGGUCAGUAGGCAAUAUUACCACCAGGAAAAUGAAGGUAAAGGAUGAGAGCAUUGGCCUUGAAGAAGGGAUUUGGAACAUUAGCUACCAGAGCAGUAGCUGUUAAGAGUUUGGUACCCAGAUAAGCAACAUGAGCAUCAUGUGGAAGCUUGUUAGAAAUGCAGAUUUGCAAGAUCUAUCCAAGAUUUACUGGACCAGAAAUUCUGGGGGUGGGACAGAGUGAUUUAUGGCUUAACAGCCCUCCAGGUGAUUCUGAUGCACACCUACGUUUGAGAACCACCACACUGACAUGUCUGCUGCUCUAGGCACCCAACAAGAUAGCAUCAACAAAUAUAUUUUGUUAUAAGAUCAAAAACAUUUUUUGUUAGCUCUUUAUUUCUGAUAAUAAUGCACUGAUUUCUGCUUCUGGUUAUUGUGUUAUUUCACAUAAUGGAAAAUCAGACACGAUUUAAAGUUUCAGUCAGUUUCAUUAUAAUGGCCAAUUAUUUAAAUAUGGCGAUGUCAGGAAAUGUGGAAUACUAGUCUCUAUCAUGCUAUGGGAGACUAACCAAAGGAAAUAGCUAAGAGGAGUGAGCGAAGAAGACAGAUACAGACAUCAUCUGUGUCCUUUCUUGCAUGGGAUUAUGGAAAUCCAACAUUGCGAAAACCUCUGGCUUGCAUUGGGAUGAAUUUAGAUAGGUACCAAAUGUCUGCUAUUUUACUUUUGAGAAGAAAACAAAUACAGUCUUCCUGUUCUUAUAGAAAAUUUAUACAAACACUGAUUGGCCCUGAAGAUAACACCAACAGUCUAGGAAAAAAUACUGCCAAAUGGUAAAUGAUAUGGUAUUUACAAAGUGUGGAUUGUCUGUAGACCAUGAAAAUCAGAACAUAUCUUUAAAAUGAACAAAACAGGAAACUAAAGAUGAAAAUACUCAUUAAAUCUUGUUUCUAAGUUUAGUUACAAAGUUCAUUGCAAAGCUGGUAUCUUUGUCUCCAAAUGUGAUUUGGAAUGUCCGUGCUCUAGAAAGCUCUGAGACUUUGCAAGUCCUCAGAUACCCUCUCAGUUUAUCCAGUUUGGGUCUCCAUUAUCUAUCUCUAGGAACUAUUAGAAAAAAGUAGACCCAAGGGACAGAGGCUCUAUUCAGCCUCUCCCCAUCCCAUCUUGAUCAUCAACUUGCCAUUUGUACUGGUACUCACCUGUGUUGCUUACCUACCGCACCUUCUUUGAAGUGGCAAAUGUCUUGGCCUACUCUCUUCUUCCCAAACAGUAUUUGCACUUCAUUUACUUUUCCAACUACUGCUCAGUUAUUGGCUGGGCUGUUGAAGCUUCCAAAAACCACUUUUAUCGUGUGAAUGGGCGGCUUAGAUAACUGGGAAUACUUAAUUAAAUGCGAUAUAUUUUUUCAGUGUAUCCUCCGUGGUGCACUCAUUUUUAAUAGCAUCUUACGCUUCUUUAACUCUAGGACCACUGGUCUUGAAUUUACUAACAGGAAGAGUCAUCAUGGAGACACAUUAACUCUGGUCAGUGCAAAGAAGCUCUCGAGUGGCUCUUCACGUCUGUUAUUGUACUUUGCAGCUUGGGUUCCCAAUCAGUUGGGAAAAAUGAAAACAUUCCCAACUGCAUGGAGGCUCAAUUAUAAACUUCAGUCUAAGGAGCUACUCAGUUCAUUGCACAGAAGUCCCCUUGAGAUAUUAAAUUCCAGGAUCCUUACUAUGGAGAAAAUUAAUAACCUUUCUGAAGCUGUUUUUCUUCCUGAGAUUUUUAAAUAAAAAGAUUGACCUUCCAAUACACUGAAGAAGGACUUCCUAAAAGACAAGAUGUUCAUACUUACCUCAAGGAGAACCUGUUUGAGUAUCUACUCAUAUGGCAUCUCAUGUUCCAUUGGCUGAAAGGAAGUUACCCUUUCAUUGUUGCACAUGUAAACAUAAUGAUUAUUAUAUCAGAAUCAUCAUGAGUUAACAUUUGUCCAAUGCCAACAAUGAGUUUGAUAGUGCAUGAAUCACUAAAUGAUAACCCCACAAAUUUUUUUAUAAAGUAAAAACGACUCAAGAUAAAUAGUAAAGAAACAUGCUGAUUUUAUUUUGGUGACUUAAAAAAAUGCUUAGAAAAAAAUUCAACAUAGUUUACAUAAAAAUUUGAGUAGAAAGAUACACUCAAUCCCUUUAUUAUUACAACUUAUCAGCAGUUGUAUAUUUGUUCUGUGCUUGUUGUUAAGAGGAACACUAUGCACAUGAAAUGUAUAUUGUAAUUAUUUUAUACAUGGCAUGUGGCAGCACAGCUCAGAGGUUAUAUUCACCUGUGUCCUUUCUCAUAUAAAUUUCAUUCAAUGCCCAGCAUAAACCGAAAUAUUUCUGUUUGUUUAUAUGUUUGUUUUCUGUUUUUCUGUUUUGGUAUUUUUGAUGAACUCCUUUUCCUGUACUCCUGACCAAAUAGGAAGAUGGCAGUUGAAAGGCUGAUGAAAGAGAAGGUUUCCCCAGAUGGCAAUUAUUCAAAUCUGAAGGAGAUCAGGCAUCCUAAAUGAGACCAGUGCCCCUUUGAACUCUUGACUCCAAGCUCCUUGAGAAAGAAGCAUAUUGCUGGGAAUGAAAGAUCUCUAAUGAGACCAAAUGGCAGAACAAGAUUUCUCACCUCUAUAGCUCUGAGCUGGAGGGACCACCAAGUAUUUCCAGACAAGGAGGAACUGUCACCUCACAUUGCUUGUGAAUCACUGCACAUCUGGUCCUCCUGCCCUGGGACAAGAACUGCAGCAGGAAAAGUCAAUGAGGACUACAUGAAGCCAAAGGAAUCGUAACAAAUGGAAAUGUGAGUGAAGAGCAUUAUAAAUGACUGAACAACUUAUUUGAAGACCCAGAGAACUCAAAGAACGGGAGCCAGGGAGUGAUCUUUUGGAAAAGAGCAUACAACUGUGGAAAAAUGGGAUAAAUCAAGCCACCAUUCUUGCUGAGUUCUUACUUCACCAUAAAUUAGGCACCUGAAUUCUGCAGAUCUUGGAAAAUUCACAGUCCUAAUACACCCGUCAUCCACACAUUUGAAGAUGAGGAAACAAUUACUUUCAACAGGCAUAGAGACAGAAGCAGUAUCUACCAAGUAUAUGGAGAAGAGAAUCACCACCCCCCCCCAAAUCGGUCACCUCAAUCCUUCUGUAUCCUGCAAUAAAAUGGGGCACAAGCAAAUAAGAGCUUAUUUACUGCUGCAUAAAACUUUGGCUGAACAGUCAAGGAGAGGAAGUCUGCUUUCGAUUUCAACCAUCUGGAAACAUUACAUCUCAAAACUAAGAUCUUUCCAAUUUUCUUGUAGGAUAAGUAGCGUGUCUUCUCCUUAACUCUACACUCUGUAGACUAGAGCAGAUAUCAUAGAAAUAAUGAUCAUCAUAGGUAAAUUAACCCAUGUAAGUGUAUCGGUCCUCCAGAACUUUCAAAAACUUGGGGAAAAAUAUUAACAAUGGUCUCUUAAAAUGUGAAAUCCCCACACGUUUUAAAUUAGAGAAAUUAUUUGCAAAGUCAUCAUUGCUGUGUUUUGUAAUCCCUCGUAAAUGUAGAACAUAGCUCUCUUACAUCUAUUUGCCCUCAAAACUAUUUUUCUUCUUCAAAGCAAGUAAGAAUCACUUUUUUCUCAAGGAUAUCUGGGUAAAGAGAUGUGCCCUGAGUUUCUAGAUCAGCCCCCUGAAGUGUUGUUUGACACUUUGCAAGUCACUUAACUCCUUUGGAACUUCUGUCUCUCUCUGUGUAAAAUGAUACUGACCACCCACUGAACCUACGGGCAUGGAGCAGCCCUGGACACUGGAGUGUGCCAGUGCUUAGGAUGAAAGUGUCAUGUAAAUUCCAGGGAGGCAGUGUGGUCCAAUGUGGAAAGGGUUCAAUUAACCCCCAGGAGACCAAGGGGCUUUGUUUUCAAUUCAGAGGCUAAGUGACCCUGGAGACUACCUCUACUCAGAGCCUCGACUAUCUCCACAGGACAGUGUGCAGUCUCAAUCACUACUCAACUGAGUUUCAAACUUUUAUUUGUCUUGCUUAUUUCAAUUUUUUUUCUUAGUAAUUCCUCCUAUCCAUUUUCUUUUUCUAACACAUUUGAAUUUAUUUAUGUAUUUUUUUACUUAUAAAAUAUGAAAAUGGUUAUAAGAUUCCAGAACUCUUCUUGGGAAGUUAAUGAAAAUAAUAAACAGAAGUAGCAGUAACUACUUGGAGAGUUCUCCAGACAGAUGAAGUCCUUUUGCUAUUUUCAAGUAAUAGACCAAAAUGAAAUCAGGUUUCUUAAUUUCUCCCUUUCAUUGGUCCUCCAUUUAGUCUGACCUUGAAGGGAAAAGUAAUGUAUUUAAUUCCCCAUGUCAUUUAAUCAUGAAUUAAGACAAAUAGAAUUUUGCAAUGAGAACUUAAAAAUUUUUACUUAAGAAAAAAUGAACAGAGAUUAUCCAAUAAAAACUUUAAAAUAAACAGUAGUAAAGAUGUUCAAGGUAAGAUAAUCAUUUGAGUCACAUCUGACUAUAGUAAAUUUAAAGAGGCAAUUCUCAUUCACAUUGUCUUUACUGUGGUUAGGGACAAUAUUUACUUAAAAUAAGAGGACUUUUGUACAGUGCUUCACAAUUCUGUUUAUUUUUUGAUGAUUUGAGGUUUUCAUAAUAUUUGCCACUCAGGGACAUGAUCUUUUUUGAAAAGCUCUGCCUCUCUUACUCUUCAUAAGCCAAAAUAAUUAAAAAUGUGGCUUUCAUAAUGAUAGAUAUAAUACACUUUCAUAUUGUGUCUGCUGGGCACUUCUCAUUUGUUUCUUAGUAUGUUGAUUACAUUUAGUCCUGGACACCAUUUAUAGACGAGCUGAAGUUGAAUGGAUUAUAGAAUAAACACCUGUGACAACAGCCCCAGGUGGGUGUCAAAGUGCUUAACUGACCAGCAGCAGAGAGUGUGGCUCCUUGGCAGGAGAUUUAAGAGGCUGUGUUCAGUUGGAUCCAGUGGUGCUUUUUUUGGAGUGAACCAUUGCAUCUAAUUUCCCUUUUGAGGGAGGAAAAAUAUAGAAAGAAAGCGGUGGAACUGUAGGAUGUUUUUAGUUGACAUCAAGAAGUAUAUAUUUAAAAAUGAGAGAGAUGUAAUUGAUAUUUAAAAGGAAACAAAAAUAGAAAAUAAAUCACUUUAAAAGGCAUAGAAGUGAAAAAGUCUUUUGCAAAGAAUCAUAGUACAUAAAUUGGGACUGUGUAAAUUCAGUACUUAGUUACGGAAAAUUUGCCAUGUUUUUC